Molecule: ribosomal RNA, 376 nt
Filed under: uncultured bacterium
Lineage: Bacteria
Description: bacterial SSU rRNA
Rfam family: Bacterial small subunit ribosomal RNA
Source: RNAcentral
UACGUAGGGGGCGAGCGUUGUCCGGAAUGAUUGGGCGUAAAGGGCGCGUAGGCGGCCUGUUAAGUCUGGAGUGAAAGUCCCGCUUUUAAGGUGGGAAUUGCUUUGGAAACUGGCGGGCUUGAGUGCAGGAGAGGUUAGUGGAAUUCCCGGUGUAGCGGUGAAAUGCGUAGAGAUCGGGAGGAACACCAGUGGCGAAGGCGACUAACUGGACUGUAACUGACGCUGAGGCGCGAAAGUGUGGGGAGCAAACAGGAUUAGAUACCCUGGUAGUCCACACGGUAAACGAUGAAUGCUAGGUGUAGGGGGUAUCGACCCCUUCUGUGCCGGAGUAAACACAAUAAGCAUUCCGCCUGGGGAGUACGGCCGCAAGGUUGAA